UGACUCUCACCAGGACUCACUCACUCACAUUGACUUCAGAUAUAAUAUUAAUUUAGACUAACUACUAACAAUCCAUACAUGCUUACUUCCCCAACUAAGAUUAUAUCAUUUAAUAUGUACAUUCCUCAAAAUAAUAAAUUUGUAUGACUUUACGUCAAAUACAAAACAUUCACCAAGGUAGAAUUCCAAAUUUUGAGCUUAUACUACCGGCUUCCCCUAUACCCGUCUUCUACUCCUGUAAGGAAAAACAACUAGAGGGGUUAAGCAAAGUCCAGUGAGGUUCCAAAUAAAUCCAACCAUCCAAAAGCAUCAUCGCAAUCACAAUUUAACAUUAAGUAUGUCAUUUAAUAAAUAUCAUUCUAAAACAAAUAACCCGUUCAAUAAAGGAUACAGUACUGAUAUAGGCUGUAGAGGUGACUCCUGUCCGUUUCCAAACAUAACACUUACUCCUGUUUAGUGAUUCAAUGUCAUUUGCCCAAUUAAACAGUACCCAACAUUCUUCUUUCUUCUAGUGUUCGAUGAUUACCUCAAUGGGUCAUACUCGAGUAUACUAAUAAACGAUACCCGAAAACUAUCGAUCGAGCUCGAUGCUAGCCCGAAUAGGUCGAUCGUCAAUGGGAUUUGGGCCCAAAACGGUCAUGCACAGUUUUUAGUAGCAGUUAAACAAUUAAUAGCUCCUCAAGAGCAAUUAGGUCUAGCGCAAUAAAGUACACAUUCGUCUUUUAUAAAAAUAGUUUAAGUGUCGAACACAGGCACUUAGAAAUUUGCAACAAUUCACUAAUCAACAAGCAACAACAACUUUAAUGUCUAAUCACAAAUACAUACAAGUACCACUCACCAAAUCAAGUGCACAGUCACGCCUCGGUUUCGAGGUUUCCUUCUAGCUUACCAUCGACUCCUGAAACAUGCCCAAGCUACAUUUAAUAGACCUUUCAAUAUUACUAACAUUCUUUCCAACUACUAAACUCUUUAGUCUAAUCAAGUGGAAUGUCACAUAACUUCUAGUUUAGAAGAGUUAUCAAACAUGUAGGUUGAAUUAUAUAAAGUUUUAUAGCCAAAUUCUUGAAAAUAAGAUUGGAAAUCUUACCCUCACUCUCGGCCCCUUUUUAACAGAAUUUCUUACUAAGAUUACUCAAAUUCUCCAAAAACCAGUGAAUUGAUUCAUGCAUGCCCUGAUUAAAGCUUUAAAAGUUUAAUGAGUCAAAAUGUGCAAGUUUACAGCCAACAUAUUAGAGUCGAACCUAGAGUUGAGCUACCAAAUCACGGCCUAAGCAGCAAUUUUCAGUAAAAUAACAUCAUUUUUUUGGAAAUCAAGGCUAAAAUUUAACCAUGAUUCAAUGUUCGAAAAGUUUUAUCCAAAACGGUUACAUGCAUGCUAAUUUCUAAUUAAAAUCUUAACUUUCUUUCAUGAUGUAUAAAUCAUGCAAUAUAUCAUGAAGUGACUAUAAAGCAUGAAUCUCUUUGAAAAACUUUAGCAAAAUGGAAGCUAUAAGUUGGAAAACAUAGCUUCAUCCUUCGGUUCAAGCAAGAAAAUUUCCAACAAGUCUUUCUUCACUUUUUCUCACCAAAAUAGCAUCUCUCUUACUCACUUUCAACCGUAAAUCACACAAUAAUAGGCUUGUAACAUGAGAUAAGGUAUUAAUCAAGCAUUCCAGCAAAACUCAGAAAGGAAAUUUUGCAUCUAAGAGUUGAAAAUUCAAGCCUCUUCCACGGUUCAAAGCUGGAAAAAUUUCCAACAAGAGGAUAGUUUGAAGAAACAAAAUUUCUCCCCUAAAAUUCUUUAUUUUUCACUCAAAUCCAACGUGCAUGUUAAGAUUAAUGUGUUAUAAAGGAUAUUGAGCAACAAUGUGAGAUUUUUCAGUCAUAAAUCAAGGAGAAAAGCUAGUAAACUCUCUCUCUUUCACUUGGUCAGCUCAACAGAUUUUCCAACCAGGUUCUUUCAAAAUUUUUCAUCCAAGCUACUAAUUUUCUCACUCAUUUCCAUGGCAAAUAUAUCAUAUAUCAUUUUUAACAUAAGAUGAAGCAUAUGACAUGAGUUCUUAGUAAAGAAAUCUAUCAAAGUUUCAAAUACAAAGAUGCAAAUCAAAACUAUCCAUCACAUGCAUCUAAAUUGAAAUUCCAGCAACAUAUAGCUUAGAAAGUGAAUUUUUCUUUCACAAACCUCCUACAUUUUGGCUUAAAAUUAACAUACACCUAGAGUGCUCAAUAGUAAUAGAAAAAAUGAAUGGUUUAUAGCAAUUGUUACCUCCAUUUUCCUCGCAAAUCAAAGCUAGAAAAUGCAUUCACUCUUCUCCCUUAGCUCUCUCUCUCUCUCUCUGUCUGUCUUUGUUUUGGAGUAAAGAAGAAAAAUGAGGCUAAGACUCUCUCUCCUCUCGGUUCCAAAAUGCAAGCAGUUCAGUCUUCUCUCUCGGCUCUCUCUCUCUCUCUCUUUCUUGUGUGUUGAAGUGAAGAAGAAAAAUGACUUAGUCUCUCUUCUCCUCUCAGUUACAAGACAAGAAAAAGGGCAGGUUGGUUGCAUGGUAGUUUAGGCAUAUUCCCUUGGCUAUUUGGUUAUUUGACAAAAUUUUUGACACUUGGCAAGAAGUUGGACAUUUGUCAAUUGAAUAUAUUGUUUCAA
RNAcentral lists this long non-coding RNA (2617 nucleotides) under Coffea arabica (coffee). RNAcentral describes it as "long non-coding RNA (CARA_LNC004735)". Lineage: Eukaryota; Viridiplantae; Streptophyta; Magnoliopsida; Gentianales; Rubiaceae. The record is from RNAcentral.